RNAcentral lists this ribosomal RNA (253 nucleotides) under uncultured bacterium. RNAcentral describes it as "partial 16S ribosomal RNA". It matches the Rfam family "Bacterial small subunit ribosomal RNA", at positions 524 to 776 of the family's 1533-position model. The record is from RNAcentral.
GGCGAACCGUGCGAACGUUGUUCGGAAUCACUGGGCUUAAAGGGCGCGUAGGCGGGCUCGCAAGUCAGGGGUGAAAGCCCGCGGCUCAACCGCGGAAGCGCCUUUGAUACUGCGGGCCUCGAGGGGGGUAGGAGCGUGCGGAACUUCCGGUGGAGCGGUGAAAUGCGUAGAUAUCGGAAGGAACACCGGUGGCGAAAGCGGCGCGCUGGACCCCCACUGACGCUGAGGCGCGAAAGCCAGGGGAGCAAACGGG